GGUCAAAAGAAAGCUCUUUAUUGAUUGACUCAGCAAUGCAGGGCUGGCACCCAUCAGCUUCAAACCACAUCUUAUCGCAUCCACUCCUGUCCACUCCCGUCCACUUUGCCCUCUUCCAGGCUGAAAUCUUGCUUUCAGGCAAGGGCUUCCGGCCAGCCUUGCAUUAGUUCUCAGCUAUGGUCUUCUGAACCCAGUCCUGGAUGGAAGUCACCUUCACAUACACACCAUACUCAGCCACAGCACAGCUCUUAUCAAAGCUUAAGAUCCCAGUCGCAUACCAGGUGUCCUCCUCCAGGUCGUGAACGGCAAAGGCACUGCCCGCAUCGCCAUAGCAGGUGUCUUCUUGGUACUUAGACAUGCCAGCACAGAAGGUGUGUUCAUUCAGUAUGGGCUGCACCCCUACAGGGCUCUUCGGUGUCUUCUUUUCGGGGACUGUGCUGCCUUCAUAAUGCCUUAUGCAUUGGUCUUGGUCAGCCACAGGCAGCAUGACAUACUUCAGAUGGUCAGUAAAUUUAAAAUUGGCAUUUCGCCCCCAGCCAGAAACAUAACCCACACGCCCUACUUCUGCAUAAUCCUUUGAAGGUAGGCAGAUGGGCAUCACUCUCUCAUUAACAGACACCUUCUGUUUGAGUUUGAUGAGCCCAAUAUCUACCUGGGAGUAGUUAGGGUGUAGAACAACCUUCUCAAUCUCUACAAGCUGCUUUUUCCCCACAUAGAGUG
This 720-nucleotide long non-coding RNA is filed under the name Homo sapiens (human). RNAcentral describes it as "HSALNT0233178". Lineage: Eukaryota; Metazoa; Chordata; Mammalia; Primates; Hominidae. The record is from RNAcentral.